GCUCGUAGAAGCGGCGGCCGGCGGGGGCGCUCGGGGUCCGGGCCUGGAUCUUUCCGCCGCCCGUCACCAUCCCGUCGGCCCUCCAGCAGCAGCGGGGCGCUGUGGGGAGGGACGUUGGGGGACGGAGGGGUGAGGCAACGUUGGGAGCGGGGGUGAGGCAACGUUGGGAGCGGGGGUGAGGCAACGUUGGGAGCGGAGUGUGAUUCUGGAGUGAGAAAGGGAUAUCAGAUUGUGCAGAAUAAUUCUGCACUUUACAAGAUUGAUAUGAUCCGAUUGAAACAAGGUUGUGAGGGCUCAGAUGAAUAUAGGAUCUGUGAUGAAACAAAUGAUGAGUAAUAUGGAAUCGUACUUGCAAAGAAUGCUACAUUUGGAGUGAUCGCAGAAUUCCUGGAAACCAUUAUUUGGUUUUUACUUUAUUGAAUUAAACAAAAACAGUGAAGUUGGUAUUAAAAUUGAAAUAGAAUCAAAUCUAUAUUUAUCGUUUAUACAGUCUGUCUUGGAUUAUAAAUUGACGCUGUCGUGUUUGCUUACCAUUAACCGGUAUUCGUUACUUUUCAGAGUUGAGACUGCUUAGAAAGAGUAGAAUGCUUUGUUCACCAUUUUUUCUCUUUCAGUUUGAGGAUAACUUGAUUUAAUAUGAUAGUAAUUCGCUUUGAAGCAAAUUACCUGCCAUUAAACUUUAUAUAAGUAUUCUAGUUUAAUAACUCAAACAGAAUCUGGUGGCUGUACGAUUUAAGUGGAUUUCAGUGUUGUAAGUUUAUUUAUCUAUGUUAGUGUUCCAGGGCCUAGCCAGUUUUCAAUGCUGAAUAGAUUCAUACUUCCUAUGACUGAGCAGAUGAAACUUUUUUUUUUAUUACCUUUUGAAGCUAGAGUAGAGCUUGUUUGAAGACUUCAUUGAUGUCCAUUUUUCUAAUUUGAAAGUGCUUACCUUAAAAAAAAAUUACAUGGCUUUUUCCAAAAAUGGGAUUGGGUCUGUUUCAAUCUGAGAAAGGAUUGUUGUAAAUUAUGUUUUUAGGAAAGUAUGAAAUAGAAGUAGGAGGGGGCUUUCAGCCCCUUUUGGCCUGUUCUGACAUUCUGUGAGAUCACGGUUGACCUUUUAUCUCAGGGACACUUUUCUGCAUUCACAAAUAGUUCUUGAUUCCUUUAAUAUCCAAAAACAAAAUCAGUCUCUCGAAUAUAAGCAAUUGAGCCUCCAGAACUCUCUUGGGUAGAGAAGCCUUUCUGCAUUCACCUCUCAAUCCACAUUGCCACCUGGCUUAGUACUAUCAGCAAACUUGAAUAUAUUGCAGUUGGUCCCCUCAUCACGCACUGACCCCUGCAGCACCCCACUGUCACAUAUUUUUUCCCCACUGUACUGUCUGUCAACUAAUACUCAGUUCAUGCCAGUAAUCAUCCCAAAUCUCAUAUGUUCUAAUUUUGUUUGAUAACCUCUGAUAUGGCAUCUUUUUGAAGGCCUUCAAGUUUGAAUGCACCAUAUCAACUUGUUUACACUUAUUGUCUUCAUUACAACCUCAAACAAAAAACCCAACAGAGCAACACAAUGGCACUGCAGGUAGUGACUGCUAUCUCAGACCUCCAGUCUCCUGGGUUCAAUUCAGACCUCCAAUGCUAUCUGUGUGGAGGUUGCACAUUCUCCCAUGACGUUGUGGGUUUACCCCAGGGAAUCCAGUUUUCUCCAAAAUACCAAAGAUAUGCUGACUGUUAGGUUAAUUGGCUCCUGUAAAUUGCCCCUAGUGUAGGUGGGUGAAUUGGAGUUCGUGUUAAGAGUACAGGGUUGUUGGGGCAGAGUGGGGGGAGAUAAUGAGAAUGAUGGGAUUGCUCUGAGAGCCAGUAUAGAUUCUGACAGGGUAUUGGCAAGAAAUAUGAAUAAAUCCAUGCUUACUCUUAAAUCUUGUUAUUUACUAAGUGGUUUACCAGCACUUCAAUACGUUUCCAGCAUUUUCCUUACAGUUAUCAGGCUAAUUCAUAUGUAGUCCUGUGAUCUCUCCCUUUUUUUAAAAUAGUGUGUUUACAUAUGCUACUUUUCACUCUAGAACUAUUUUCCAAUAUAUUUUGGUAUUUAUAUAAAAUAGUUGUGAGAUAAUAGCCUUUAAUGCACAAGUUCUAGCAGAGAAAACAAAAGUUGUUAUACUUGAUUGCUUAUUUGUCAGCUUUUGAAUGUCCUUUAUUUAGCAGAAAUUGGAACCUUGAACAACUGUUUUCAUCUGAACCUUAUUAAUUCAGUUUGGUUCUUCUGUUAAAUUUCACUGUAUUUGAUUAAUUGUAUAUUAUUAAUUGUUUAAUAUUGUUAGAUCAACUUAUUCUGGAAUGGGCUGUUAAUGUUUUCCACAGAAAAAUGUAAGCCAAGAAAAUUGUAUAUUAAUAAAACAGCACCUAAUUCUCUAAUUU
Pristis pectinata (smalltooth sawfish) is the source of this 2388-nucleotide long non-coding RNA. RefSeq lists it as uncharacterized. Lineage: Eukaryota; Metazoa; Chordata; Chondrichthyes; Rhinopristiformes; Pristidae. The transcript is spliced from 3 exons. The record is from RefSeq and is a predicted model, not a curated record.